This 47-nucleotide non-coding RNA is filed under the name unclassified sequences. RNAcentral's name for it is "gut-2 RNA". It matches the Rfam family "gut-2 RNA". From Rfam's summary of the family: gut metagenomes. Environment (Cow rumen (57)) The record is from Rfam by way of RNAcentral.
CGCCGGGGCCAAUUGGGGUUCCCGAAGGACCAAUUGGGGUCAGAGGA